Molecule: ribosomal RNA, 466 nt
Filed under: uncultured bacterium
Lineage: Bacteria
Description: partial 16S ribosomal RNA
Rfam family: Bacterial small subunit ribosomal RNA
Source: RNAcentral
GACGAACGCUGGCGGCGUGCUUAACACAUGCAAGUCGAACGGAAAGGCCCAGCUUGCUGGGUACUCGAGUGGCGAACGGGUGAGUAACACGUGGGUGAUCUGCCCCUGUCUUUGGGAUAAGCCUGGGAAACUGGGUCUAAUACCGGAUAUGACCUUACAUCGCAUGGUGUUUGGUGGAAAGCUUUUGCGGUUGGGGAUGGGCCCGCGGCCUAUCAGCUUGUUGGUGGGGUAAUGGCCUACCAAGGCGACGACGGGUAGCCGACCUGAGAGGGUGAUCGGCCACACUGGGACUGAGACACGGCCCAGACUCCUACGGGAGGCAGCAGUGGGGAAUAUUGCACAAUGGGCGCAAGCCUGAUGCAGCGACGCCGCGUGAGGGAUGACGGCCUUCGGGUUGUAAACCUCUUUCACCAGGGACGAAGCGUGAGUGACGGUACCUGGAGAAGAAGCACCGGCCAACUACGUG